UUAUUUUAUUUUGGUUAAUAUUUUUAUUAUUAUUUUAUUUUACAUGUAAAUUUUUGUGAGAAUUUAUUUAAUUUUUAAAAAAUUAUUUAAUUUAUUAUUUAUUCGCAGUAAUUAAUAUUAAUAUAAAAAGAAAUUUUGUAUUAGUAAUAAUAUAUAGUAUUGGUAAAAUUUGUGCCAGCUACCGCGGUUAUACAAAUAAUACAAAUAAAAAUUUUUAGUAUUAGUUAAAUUGAUUAAUUUUUAAUAUAAAUAUAAAUUUAUUAGGUGAAAUUUUUAAAUUUAUUUAUUAUUAAUUUUAGAAUAAUUUAAGCUAUAAACUUUUUAUAAUAAACUAGGAUUAGAUACCCUAUUAUUAAAAAUAAAUAUAAGUAUACUAAAGUAGUAUUAGUUAUAUUCUUAAAAUUUAAAAAAUUUGGCGGUAUUUUAGUCUAUUCAGAGGAAUCUGUCCUGUAAUUGAUAGUCCACAUUGAACCUUACUUAAGUUUGUUAAAUUUGUAUAUCGCCGUCAUCAGAAUAUAUUAUAAGAUAAAAUUUUCUAAAUAUUUAAUAAAAUAAUAUGUCAGGUCAAGGUGCAGUUUAUAUUUAAGUAGAGAUGGAUUACAAUAAAUUUAUUUAAUAUGGAUAAUUUUUUGAAAUAAAGAAUUGAAAGUGGAUUUGAAAGUAAUAUAAAAUAGAUUAUUUAUAUGAUUUUAGCUCUAAAAUAUGCACAUAUCGCCCAUCGUUCUUAUUUUUAAAAUAAGAUAAGUUGUAACAUAGUAGAUGUACUGGAAAGUGUAUCUAGAAAGA
Molecule: non-coding RNA, 786 nt
Filed under: Culex orbostiensis
Lineage: Eukaryota; Metazoa; Arthropoda; Insecta; Diptera; Culicidae
Source: RNAcentral